GACGAACGCUGGCGGCGUGCUUAACACAUGCAAGUCGUACGGUAAGGCCCUUUCGGGGGUACACGAGUGGCGAACGGGUGAGUAACACGUGAGUAACCUGCCCACAACUUUGGGAUAACGCUAGGAAACUGGUGCUAAUACUGGAUAUGUGCUCCUGCUGCAUGGUGGGGGUUGGAAAGCUCCGGCGGUUGUGGAUGGACUCGCGGCCUAUCAGCUUGUUGGUGGGGUAGUGGCCUACCAAGGCGGCGACGGGUAGCCGGCCUGAGAGGGUGACCGGCCACAUUGGGACUGAGAUACGGCCCAGACUCCUACGGGAGGCAGCAGUGGGGAAUAUUGCACAAUGGGCGCAAGCCUGAUGCAGCAACGCCGCGUGCGGGAUGACGGCCUUCGGGUUGUAAACCGCUUUCAGCAGGGACGAAGCUUUUUGUGACGGUACCUGGAGAAGAAGCACCGGCUAACUACGUG
RNAcentral lists this ribosomal RNA (465 nucleotides) under uncultured bacterium. Its description in RNAcentral is "partial 16S ribosomal RNA". It matches the Rfam family "Bacterial small subunit ribosomal RNA", at positions 28 to 507 of the family's 1533-position model. The record is from RNAcentral.